AGCAGGAAAUAUAAUCCUGCCUUAUGACGUCAGAGCACUGAGGGAUAUAUAAAGGCAGUCAGCGGCAGGUCUCUUGCACCAUUGGAAGCGAGACAUCUGCAUCCAGAAGCAGCUCUUAUUUAAUAAGAACUUCCACUGAACAAUCAUUUUGUGUUUGUUGAAAAAUCUUCGACUUAAACUGACGCCUACACCUCGCUUCACUGAGGAAGCAUUGUCACGAGUUUCGCAGAGAAGCCCGCUUCCGCAAACACAAUGAAGCAGUUCGACAAAGCCGAUCCUAGCUCACUGCUUUCGCAGAUGCAGCGGAGAUCCACGCCUGUGACCAAGGAAUCCCGAGAGAGCUCCCCCAACCUGACGCACUCUAUCAAGGGCCUCUGGGGCUCCUGGAUGAACGCCGGAAGCGAUUCUGUGGGACACCAGAAGAGAAUCGUUUACCCAGGGACGUGGAACCAAGAUCUAACAUUGUCGAGAAGUUAAUAAACGGAAAACUUCAUCAUCGACUACGAUGACUAAAAAGUAACCGAAAAAAGAGCCGGCAUGACGCCUGGCUGUAAUCUGUGGGAAGUCUGUGCACUUCUCGAAGGCUGCCGGUCGAGUAAUGAGGAUCUCCCAGUGAAUAGCCGAAUGAAAAUAAUAACCCGAGCGAGAAGAAAGGCCCGAAGGAGGAUCAUGCAGUGCGCCUGAGCAUAACCAACAUGGAUUUUUUUAAUGCGGCGCCCUUGUCCUCAAAAGAUUAUUUUCUACUCUCUAUUACUAUGGCAGAAAAGAUUGCUGAAAAAUCAUGUACGAUAAUUUGUGCAUCGAUAGUGUUGUAUCACAUUCGCUUAGUUGUCAAUGUUAUAUUUCUGAUAUUCAUUUAUAUUAAAUGUGUAAUGUAUGAUACCAUGUAAUACGACUGAUUUUUUGUUUUACUAGUUUUAUUUUUGCACAAAUGUGCUUCCAUACUUCUGGCUAUUAUACGGUCAAAUAUAAUAGAAGCAAC
RNAcentral lists this long non-coding RNA (982 nucleotides) under Penaeus chinensis. RNAcentral describes it as "uncharacterized LOC125029394, transcript variant X1". The record is from RNAcentral. Lineage: Eukaryota; Metazoa; Arthropoda; Malacostraca; Decapoda; Penaeidae.